RNAcentral lists this ribosomal RNA (228 nucleotides) under uncultured bacterium. Its description in RNAcentral is "partial 16S ribosomal RNA". It matches the Rfam family "Bacterial small subunit ribosomal RNA", at positions 568 to 795 of the family's 1533-position model. The record is from RNAcentral.
UACGUAGGCGGGAAAUUAAGUCAGUAGUGAAAUCCCACAGCUUAACUGUGGAACUGUUAUUGAUACUGGUUUUCUUGAAUAUAGUUGAGGUAGGCGGAAUGUGUAAUGUAGCGGUGAAAUGCUUAGAUAUUACGCAGAACACCGAUUGCGAAGGCAGCUUACUAAGCUAUGAUUGACGCUGAGGUACGAAAGCGUGGGGAGCGAACAGGAUUAGAUACCCUGGUAGUC